GUUUUAAUGUAGUGACCUAUCAUAUACAAACAAUUUAUUGUGUAUUUAUAUUAAAACAGUAUAGUAUAUAUGUAUAUAUAAAAUUCAUCUAUUUCUUUUCCUGCCUGUCCCCCACCCCCACCCCCGGUACUGGGAAUCAAACUCAAGACCUUGAGCUUGCCAGACAAGUACAGCACACUGAGAUACGCCCCCGGCCCUAUUUUGCAUCUUUGUAUCCAUGAGUGUAUUUCUUGCUCGACUAGCCUUGGCCCCAAAGAGCUACUACAUCGGUUCCUUCCCAGGGCUGAGCUCUCAGGGACUUCAUCACUCCCCAAGGCCCCACCUCGGAGACGCCCUGCCACCCCUCACGAGGUCGGAGACUCUCAGAUCAGACCUGAGCCACAGCCCCACAGGCAGCAGAUGGAUUCUUCCCUGGCCCUCCCACCCAGAGGUGGGGUCUACGUUCCUUCCUCUGUGGCCUCUACGGCUCUCUGUCCCACUCCAUGAUGGAGGAUGGGACACGUACCUGUCUGUAGGCCCUGGCUUUCAGAGUCUGGCUUCUUCUGCCUUCUGUCUCUCAGGCACUCUCUCUAGGAGGCCUGAGCUGCCUGUGUGAGGUCUCCAAACUCCCCCUCACCACCCUGGAGAUCCUACCUAGCAAGACCCCACUGAAUCCGGUCAAGCUGGACCCUCUACCUGAGCCCAGAUGAAUACCAGAGUGACCUAAGUCAAAACACCUAAGGGAGCCUCUCCUGCACAGACAUAUCCAAUACAGUAACAGUGUUGUUGUUUGAAGCUGCCACACUCCACACGGGCUCACAUCAGAUCCAGGUGGAAACUGAAGUUGUGUGUUGCCUGCAGCUCUUCUGCUCCUCCCCUCUCCCCUGAGGAUGGUACAGCCCUGGUGAGGCUGCCCCUGAGAUCUGACGACCUGGGGAGCAGUGCCAUGGUGCCCACGAACAUCACCAUGGGACCCAGACGAGAAACAAACUUUCACUGCUGUUAAGCCCUGAAGAUUUUGGGCUGUUCUCGACCACAUCCGCUGUGAAUCAUGCAAUACACAGCUACUAUUUCUCUCCCCUUUAUCACUAUUGGAAAAGCCCAUUUCUCCCAAUAAAGAAUGAAGAAACCACAGGUACUCACUUUCUAAGCCUCCUUUACAGCUAAAGCUGUUCUACUUGUCUUGAGAAAUGACAGGUACUCCUUGCCUGUACCUUCUUGGUAUACUUCCAGGAAAAAGAUUUUCCUCUAGUACCAAAAUAGAAGCUUAGCCUGGUGGCACAUGCCUGCAAUCCCAG
Molecule: long non-coding RNA, 1277 nt
Filed under: Fukomys damarensis (Damara mole-rat)
Lineage: Eukaryota; Metazoa; Chordata; Mammalia; Rodentia; Bathyergidae
Description: lncRNA (ENSFDAG00000022828.1)
Source: RNAcentral